AAUAUCACAGCAUAUUAAACAGCUCAAUCAGGAUUAUAAUUCAAAAUGUCUUCCCAUAGUAUAUUAUGUGUAUUUAUGGUUCUCGUCGCAACUGUUUAUAGUCAGGUUAUACUACCUCCGACAAUAACAGGCGGACCAGGUAUUGUAACCAACAGCCAAAACAAUCCUAGCUACUACCAGAGCAUCUCCGGACAACAACAGCAACAGGGGGUCAAUCAAAUUGAUCCCAUGACUCUGCUAUUAUUGACUCGAGGAGAAGGUGGAAUUAGACGAAUCCUCCCGUUUCUAUUAUCUGGACAAUUUGGACAGAACAACCAACUUUUAAACAUACUGUUGCUUAGAUCUCUUUCUGGAUAAUCUUUGAACUCACAUUAUCUAUAACUCUUUUUCUUGCAUUAUUUCAUGUUUAAAACUUACAACAUUAAAUUUGUA
Patella vulgata (common limpet) is the source of this 432-nucleotide long non-coding RNA. RefSeq lists it as uncharacterized. The transcript has 3 exons. The record is from RefSeq and is a predicted model, not a curated record. NCBI's taxonomy places the organism in Eukaryota, Metazoa, Mollusca, Gastropoda, Patellidae.